RNAcentral lists this non-coding RNA (27 nucleotides) under Homo sapiens (human). The record is from RNAcentral. Lineage: Eukaryota; Metazoa; Chordata; Mammalia; Primates; Hominidae.
UAGCCAUUGGGCCUGGUGCAUCGGAGC